UACGUAGGUGGCAAGCGUUGUCCGGAUUUACUGGGUGUAAAGGGCGUGUAGGCGGGCUAUCAAGUCAGAUGUGAAAUCUAUGGGCUUAACCCAUAACGUGCAUUUGAAACUGAGAGUCUUGAGUGAUGGAGAGGCAGGCGGAAUUCCUAGUGUAGCGGUGAAAUGCGUAGAUAUUAGGAGGAACACCAGUGGCGAAGGCGGCCUGCUGGACAUUAACUGACGCUGAGGCGCGAAAGCGUGGGGAGCAAACAGG
Molecule: ribosomal RNA, 253 nt
Filed under: uncultured bacterium
Lineage: Bacteria
Description: partial 16S ribosomal RNA
Rfam family: Bacterial small subunit ribosomal RNA
Source: RNAcentral